CGCGUAGGCUGUUUUACAAGUCAGAUGUGAAAUCCCCGAGCUUAACUUGGGAAUUGCAUCUGAAACUGUUGAACUUGAGUCCUGGAGGGGGUAGCGGAAUUCCCAGUGUAGCGGUGAAAUGCGUAGAUAUUGGGAGGAACACCUGCGGCGAAGGCGGCUACCUGGACAGUGACUGACGCUGAGGCGCGAAAGCUAGGGGAGCGAACA
Molecule: ribosomal RNA, 207 nt
Filed under: uncultured bacterium
Lineage: Bacteria
Description: partial 16S ribosomal RNA
Rfam family: Bacterial small subunit ribosomal RNA
Source: RNAcentral